Molecule: long non-coding RNA, 359 nt
Organism: Acanthopagrus latus (yellowfin seabream)
Lineage: Eukaryota; Metazoa; Chordata; Actinopteri; Spariformes; Sparidae
Exons: 3
Source: RefSeq, a predicted model, not a curated record
AGGUGAAGCCGUUUGCCCAAUCAGAGGUUGAGACGUCACACUUCCGGUCUGUCUCGUAUGGCCCCAGUCAGCUCGCAGGUCUCUCUGUUUGUCCACCGACAUGCUGACGGUCGGACGCUUCGUGUGAGCAGCAGAUAACUAAAAUUCCCUCUAUGACUUCUGGAGCGGGUCCGAGAGCGACGGGCACAGCCGGCAGCGACUUCCAGCACCGGGUCGCUUCACUCGACCAGAUGAGGAUGGUUUUCAAACCUUUCACACCUGCUACCUUUUCACCAGCGAGUCCUUCAGGCCUCGUCAGCUGGUCCCGGGGUCAGCCCUUCUUAUGGUGCAGGGCUGAGUUUCCUCUGAACGUCUGAAAC